GACGAACGCUGGCGGCGUGCUUAACACAUGCAAGUCGAACGGAAAGGCCCUGCUUUUGUGGGGUGCUCGAGUGGCGAACGGGUGAGUAACACGUGAGUAACCUGCCCUUGACUUUGGGAUAACUUCAGGAAACUGGGGCUAAUACCGGAUAGGAGCUCCUGCUGCAUGGUGGGGGUUGGAAAGUUUCGGCGGUUGGGGAUGGACUCGCGGCUUAUCAGCUUGUUGGUGGGGUAGUGGCUUACCAAGGCUUUGACGGGUAGCCGGCCUGAGAGGGUGACCGGCCACAUUGGGACUGGGAUACGGCCCAGACUCCUACGGGAGGGAGCAGUGGGGAAUAUUGGACAAUGGGCGGAAGCCUUAUGCAGCAACGCCGCGUGCGGGAUGACGGCCUUCGGGUUGUAAACCGCUUUCGCCUGUGACGAAGCGUGAGUGACGGUAAUGGGUAAAGAAGCACCGGCUAACUACGUG
Molecule: ribosomal RNA, 468 nt
Filed under: uncultured bacterium
Lineage: Bacteria
Description: partial 16S ribosomal RNA
Rfam family: Bacterial small subunit ribosomal RNA
Source: RNAcentral